RNAcentral lists this long non-coding RNA (293 nucleotides) under Nicotiana benthamiana. RNAcentral describes it as "long non-coding RNA (NBEN_LNC020900)". The record is from RNAcentral. Lineage: Eukaryota; Viridiplantae; Streptophyta; Magnoliopsida; Solanales; Solanaceae.
UCUCCCAUUGAAAUAUCAUCUCCAGUUGUAAUCUGUCUCUGAAUGUCUUGCUUAACUUGUUCCAUGUAGGCAGCAAUUAAUUCCUCUUGAGAUAAACACCACCUUUUUUAAUAUGUAUUUCUUUGUAAUUUUAGCAAAAUGGCUUUCUUCUAUAAUAGGAAUUUCUGAAAUAUUUAUGCUGUAUCUGGUCAAAGCAGUCUGAAUAGAGUCCAAUAAUUCUUGACCAAUUAAUUUACCAUCUGGUCCUUUAGAAUUUAAUUUAGGCCAGAAUUUAACAUGAAAUCUUCUGAAUA